RNAcentral lists this ribosomal RNA (433 nucleotides) under uncultured bacterium. RNAcentral's name for it is "partial 16S ribosomal RNA". It matches the Rfam family "Bacterial small subunit ribosomal RNA", at positions 29 to 507 of the family's 1533-position model. The record is from RNAcentral.
AACGAACGCUGGCGGCAUGCCUAACACAUGCAAGUCGAACGAGACCUUCGGGUCUAGUGGCGCACGGGUGCGUAACGCGUGGUAACCUGCCCUUAGGUUCGGAAUAACUCCCCGAAAGGGGUGCUCAUACCGGAUAAUGUCUUCGGACCAAAGAUUUAUCGCCUUUGGAUGGGCCCGCGUUGGAUUAGCUAGUUGGUAGGGUAAAAGCCUACCAAGGCGACGAUCCAGAGCUGGUCUGAGAGGAUGAUCAGCCACACUGGGACUGAGACACGGCCCAGACUCCUACGGGAGGCAGCAGUGGGGAAUAUUGGACAAUGGGCGAAAGCCUGAUCCAGCAAUGCCGCGGGAGUGAUGAAGGCCUUAGGGUUGUAAAGCUCUUUUACCCGGGAUGAUAAUGACAGUACCGGGAGAAUAAGCUCCGGCUAACUACGUG